GACAAAUCCUGUAGGAUUUUACUUGCGGAAUUUCAGAAAUAAAGCAAGGGGCAUUAAAAGUCUUUUUUGGUUUGUCUCAACUAUACAGAAACUGUUCCGGGCGUGGGGGAUGGGUGAACUAGGUAACAGGGAUUAAGAGUACACUUCAGAUGAGUUCGGAAGGGCACACCUGAACUCUAGUCAC
Herpailurus yagouaroundi (jaguarundi) is the source of this 184-nucleotide long non-coding RNA. RefSeq lists it as uncharacterized. The record is from RefSeq and is a predicted model, not a curated record. Lineage: Eukaryota; Metazoa; Chordata; Mammalia; Carnivora; Felidae. The transcript is spliced from 3 exons.